AUGACCCAAAAUAACAAUUCAGAUGAGCCGAGAAGGCUGAACGGUGGCAAGAUUAUGCGUUACUGCUUUGUCUUAACUGAUAUAAGAUCCAGUAGAGCUUGCCUCGUCGUGGAUCAAUUAUGCUUCCUCCAUGACCGAUUAUCCUACUGCUUGGCUGGACCCCAAAGAACAAAUUAUGUGAUUGGUUGGUUGCCACUUGGAGAGAAGACAAAGGUGGCACUCUGGACCCCUAAUGCUAAUGCUAACUUUGUAAGCCAAACAGUCCGUGUAAACCAUUGGCUAACAGUGGUGCGCCAUUUGUCUUCUUCACGGAGCACGAAAAGACAUUCUGAUGUGACACAAUGA
RNAcentral lists this ribosomal RNA (345 nucleotides) under Triticum aestivum (bread wheat). Its description in RNAcentral is "partial small subunit ribosomal RNA". The record is from RNAcentral. Lineage: Eukaryota; Viridiplantae; Streptophyta; Magnoliopsida; Poales; Poaceae.